Long non-coding RNA from Rosa rugosa (rugosa rose), 1775 nucleotides. RefSeq lists it as uncharacterized. Lineage: Eukaryota; Viridiplantae; Streptophyta; Magnoliopsida; Rosales; Rosaceae. The record is from RefSeq and is a predicted model, not a curated record. The transcript is spliced from 9 exons.
AAACCCCCUUCUCUCUCCCCCCUCCACGAGACCCCCUCUCUCGAGCUCUCUCAAUCUUGAAACCCCUCUCCCCCUCCCCCCCUCUUCUACGAAACCCCUCUCUCUCAGUCUCUCAAUCUCCUUGCUUAUAUUCUUUAUCUCCUGAAAUCCAAAUCCUCUUCAGCGAUGGACGAGAUAGAGUGCCCUAGAUCCACUUUCUCUCUCCUCCUCGCCUCCAAAUCCAAAGAGAUGCAGAAGACUCUUCAGUUUCUCCGAUUCUAUAGAAAGAAAGAAAACAAAACCUCUCUCGACCUUCUCAGUCAUCUUCUUCACCACUUUCUUAUACAAAACGAAUUUCAUGUGCCCUCCUCACUUCUAAUCCAAACCACUAAUUCAAUCCCUCAAUUUUCCCCAUUUUCCUCUCAAUUUUUCGAAAUCCAUACCAAAUUUUUCCUCAAUUGAAAAAAUCGGAUUGUGAAUUGAACGCUCUAGGGUUCUGAGUAAUCGAGCAACAGUGAGAUGAGCAACAACCCAGAGAGUUUAAAUUUCCGAUUCUUCUGGCGUUGAGACAGGUUGAGUCUAGCCAUCUGCGACUCGACUCGUUUGGGGAAUCUCGAGCCUCUCGUCGUCUCCGUCGAAGACCUCGAUGUGCAACAACAAAUUCAUUCUGUGCCGGUCGUUGUCCAGGCUCCACCAGUUUGGGCUGAACGACAAGGCGUCGCCGGUGAAGGAUGGCGGGAACGAGGCCUACGAGAGCAUUUUGAUGCCGAAUCUGGAUCAGCAAGGACACGUCCAGAAGGAAAAGAAAAAAGUCCAGACUUAAAAUUUUAAUUUGAUUUCAGUGUUGCUACAGAGAAGCAGAGCUUGAUGCCUGGAAAGCAUUCAAUAGAUGGACAUGUUGAAAACUCAGCUCGAUCUGUUUUCUGGGUUCUCAGUUUCAACUCCACCUUUCAGGAGAAGCAAAAGAAAGAGUAGCAAUGGAAAAGAUUUGGAUGAGAAAGGGAGAGAAGUGAACUCGAGUAUGCAUGUAGCAGAUUUUUCCAUUACGGAAUCAAAAAUCAACUGAUUUUCUCCACAAUCUACUGUGAUUAUAUACUCAGGUGGGAUUUCCUCCUGUAGUCUUCUAUUUGCUUGGCGGGAAAAGUUUGGAGCAAGAUUGAGGUUUCAUAGUUUUCUAAGAAAUGGGUAAUCGGAUAAAGGAAGAGGAGAAAAUUGAAAGAAUAAUUCGAAGUCUUUUAAAGCUUCCUGAGAAUAAAAGAUGCAUCAACUGCAAUAGUUUGGGACCGCAAUAUGUUUGCACGACCUUCUUGACAUUUGUUUGUACAAAUUGUAGUGGAGUGCAUCGGGAGUUCACUCACCGAGUAAAAUCAGUGUCCAUGGCUAAAUUCACUGCAGAAGAAGUAAAUUCUCUCCAGGCAGGGGGAAAUGAGUGAUGGUGCAGCUUCAUUGGUGCUAGUGAGUGGGGAAAAGGCACUUGAACUUGGGUUACAUGCUCUUGUUCUUCAUUCCUCGGGAAAACCAACCCCUUUGGUACUGUAUCAUGCUCUUCUGCUGCAAUAUGUGCUAACUCGUGAAGCUUCACAAUAAGCUUGGAGGUGAUGCAAAUGAGAAUAUAUAUAGUGCACAGGAUGCUUGAUAAAAUGGCACAAGAAGGUUUUGUUGAAGCGAAAAGAUAUUAUAUCAGCUUUUGAUUCAUGUGUAGCUAGCUAGGAAUGCUUUCUUGUUUGGUACAUUACCUAGUCACUUGAAUGUAUGGAUGUUUGAAAAAUGGUAAUGGAAUGAUAUGGAUUUGAGUA